GACGAACGCUGGCGGCGUGCCUAAUACAUGCAAGUAGAACGCACAGUUUAUACCGUAGCUUGCUACACCAUAGACUGUGAGUUGCGAACGGGUGAGUAACGCGUAGGUAACCUGCCUGGUAGCUGGGGAUAACUAUUGGAAACGAUAGCUAAUACCGCAUAAUAUUAAUUAUUGCAUGAUAAUUAAUUUAAAGGUGCAAUUUCACCACUACCAGAUGGACCUGCGUUGUAUUAGCUAGUAGGUGAGGUAACGGCUCACCUAGGCGACGAUACAUAGCCGACCUGGGAGGGUGAUCGGCCAAACUGGGACUGAGACACGGCCCAGACUCCUACGGGAGGCAGCAGUAGGGAAUCUUCGGAAAUGGACGAAAGUCUGACCGAGCAACGCCGAGUGAGUGAAGAAGGUUUUCGGAUCGGAAAGCUCUGUUGUAAGAGAAGAACGGGUGUGAGAGUGGAAAGUUCACAAUGUGACGGUAUCUUACCAGAAAGGGACGGCUAACUACGUG
RNAcentral lists this ribosomal RNA (505 nucleotides) under uncultured bacterium. RNAcentral describes it as "partial 16S ribosomal RNA". It matches the Rfam family "Bacterial small subunit ribosomal RNA", at positions 28 to 507 of the family's 1533-position model. The record is from RNAcentral.